CGUGGGAGGCACGUCUGAGGGGUUUGGUUUAAGCGGUUAGGCAAAUCCCAACCGAGUUUCCCGCUAAAUACAGCAACAUGUACCUUCCUCCAAUCGCCAUUUCAGGAACCCAUUGCAGGGAGUCUCCUCCUCCUCCCCCUCCUCCACCUCCCCUCCUCUGUCUUUCUUCGCUUUCAAUCUCUUUGUUCUGUGCCUCGCUUACAUUUUCAUUCACAUCCCAGGUUUUUGAGGCUACUACGAAUUGACGGGAAGCGAUGUUCUGCUGCGGAGGUGUGGAGGAGGAAAAUUAUGGCGCGCCUUCGAGUCAAUAUUCAGCCCCACCGAGGGGAAAUACGUAUGGUGGCAGCGAGAGAGGAGAGCCUAGGAGCUCUAAUGUUGUCAGAGGUGGACCUCCUCAGCAAAUAUUGCCUAUUGAAACACCAGUCAUUACACUGGAUGAACUAAACAGGUUAACAAGUAAUUUUGGUACGAAAUCUUUCAUCGGAGAAGGUUCUUACGGUCGGGUUUAUUAUGCGACGUUAAAGUGCGGUCAGGCUGCUGCAAUAAAGAAACUGGAUACCAGUUCUUCACCGGAGCCCGACAACGAUUUUGCAGCUCAGCUAUCAGUUGUUUCUAGGCUCAAGCAAGAGAACUUUUUGGAGUUAAUUGGGUAUUGUUUGGAGGCUAAUAAUCGAAUCUUGAUAUAUCCGUUUGCAAAAAUGGGUUCUUUGCACGAUAUAUUACAUGGAAGAAAAGGAGUACAAGGGGCUGAGCCUGGUCCAGUGCUUACUUGGAGCCAGAGAGUUAAAGUUGCCUUUGGUGCAGCCAAAGGCCUUGAGUAUCUACAUGAGAAGGUUCAGCCUUCCAUAGUUCAUCGUGAUAUCCGGUCGAGUAAUGUUCUUCUCUUCGACGACUUCCUUGCGAAGAUUGCUGAUUUCAACUUGACAAAUCAAUCGUCGGAUACAGCAGCACGACUUCAUUCAACUAGGGUCUUAGGAACAUUCGGUUACCAUGCUCCAGAGUAUGCUAUGACAGGACAGAUUACUCAAAAGAGUGACGUUUAUAGUUUUGGCGUAGUUCUUCUCGAACUUUUGACAGGACGAAAGCCAGUAGAUCACACGAUGCCUAAGGGACAACAGAGUCUUGUUACUUGGGCAACACCAAGAUUAAGUGAGGACAAGGUGAAACAGUGUGUAGAUCCCAAGCUAAACAACGAUUACCCACCAAAAGCGAUAGCAAAGUUGGCAGCAGUUGCAGCCUUGUGUGUUCAGUACGAGGCUGACUUCAGGCCAAACAUGACAAUUGUGGUUAAGGCUCUCCAGCCGCUUCUAAAUUCUUCAAAACCACCAGGACCUGAAGCUCAACCUCGUCCAUGAGAUAAUACACAUUUUAGUUAACAUACAGCCAGCACAGGCACAAGCACUAGUGCAAGCACAGUAAUCUCCCCUGUAACUUGUGAUCUUACUCAUCUAUUCUAAAAUUGAAAGGAAACUGUCAAGAUG
Molecule: RNA transcript, 1481 nt
Organism: Cucurbita moschata (crookneck pumpkin)
Lineage: Eukaryota; Viridiplantae; Streptophyta; Magnoliopsida; Cucurbitales; Cucurbitaceae
Gene name: probable protein kinase At2g41970
Exons: 11
Source: RefSeq, a predicted model, not a curated record